GAUUAGCUCAGCUGGGAGAGCAUCUGCCUUACAAGCAGAGGGUCGGCGGUUCGAGCCCGUCAUC
RNAcentral lists this transfer RNA (64 nucleotides) under Bacillus sp. FJAT-21955. RNAcentral describes it as "tRNA-Val". It matches the Rfam family "tRNA", at positions 5 to 66 of the family's 71-position model. From Rfam's summary of the family: Transfer RNA (tRNA) molecules are approximately 80 nucleotides in length. The record is from RNAcentral. Lineage: Bacteria; Bacillati; Bacillota; Bacilli; Caryophanales; Bacillaceae.